AACCUGGAGAAGGACUGCCAGGUGUCACAUAUUAUCUAUUUAAGGACUGAUCUUCCUGCCCUGCCUCAAGGUCAACUUCAGUCCUAAGUGGAAGAGAGGAGAGAGCACUUCUAGGAGGUCUUAAACGAUUCUGUUAGAAGAGGGAAGUUUGAAAAUCUUCCUGGCUUCACUUCUUGAACUUUCCAAUUGCUGAUGCUGGCAAGACAGACUAGGACCUUGCUCCAAGAUGACCAGUGAUGACUUCAGAAAGGGUCCUGGUCAGAAGUUGAAAAUAAGGGAGAGAGAGGAAGAAAACCACAAAGAAGCAUAUGAAAAGUGGAAAAAUACAGAGCUAGAGGUGAACCUAAACACUCAGAGGUAAUUUGCCUUGAGGAGCAAGAACCCUUGAGACCUGUGUGUAGACUUUGGAAAAAAAGAACCUGUGAACACCAGUAAAGGGCUAUGAACGUGCCAUCCUCUGACAGGUUCUCCAAACCGUUUGGUCUCCUUUCCUGAGGUGCUAUGGCAGAACUCUGUGAACCUAAGAUGUGUAUAUUCUGCAGUUCUCUUGCCAAGGCAAUGGAGUCACCUCUCCUGUACCCUUGUAACUUUGAGUUAGUAAGGUCAGCUUGACUUCAGAGCCACUUAAAGCAGCAGCAGUGGAACUCACCAGGAGCAAAUCCCAGGCUGAGCAGCUCCAAGUUCAACUCCACCAGCCUUCAUUUGAAAUGUUUGGGCAGAGAAGCACAAUCUGCCUUGACUCUCCCUGCCUCUCCGGGCUGCAGUUCUGCUCUCCCUAACCAAGCGCAUGUUUACUUAAUACAAUUUGUAGCAAAUGUAAUAGACAUGUGGAGCUGAAAGAGAGGCUGAGUAUCUAAAUUGCAAAGACCACAAAUCCGUCACUGAGUAGAUAGAUAUGCUAAGUGAAGGACAUUUUUACUGGAGUAUCUGACAGAACUGGAAAUCACAAUGCAGAGCGAUUUUAUCACAGAGGAUUUUCAAUUUGUUGUUGAGAAGGAUGGGUCAGUAAGCAUCCUCUUUAUCCCUAAUGGCUAAAGAAUGUAAAUAAUCUUCUUGUAACCAUUCUUCAUGUAUGUUUUCUAUCUAGGUGAGGUAUAUUUACUUCUAGGGAUAUUUUUUCCCUCCUAUCAAAAGAGCAUAAGGAUU
This is a long non-coding RNA of Pogoniulus pusillus (Red-fronted tinkerbird), 1146 nucleotides long. RefSeq lists it as uncharacterized. The record is from RefSeq and is a predicted model, not a curated record. The transcript is spliced from 4 exons. NCBI's taxonomy places the organism in Eukaryota, Metazoa, Chordata, Aves, Piciformes, Lybiidae.